AGAACGAACGCUGGCGGCAGGCUCAACACAUGCAAGUCGAGCGCCCCGCAAGGGGAGCGGCAGACGGGUGAGUAACGCGUGGGAACAUACCCUCCGGUUCGGAAUAGCUCAGGGAAACUUGGAUUAAUACCGGAUACGGCCUAGCGGCGAAAGAUUGAUCGCCGGAGGAUUGGCCCGCGUCUGAUUAGCUAGUUGGUGGGGUAAUGGCCCACCAAGGCGACGAUCAGUAGCUGGUCUGAGAGGAUGAUCAGCCACAUUGGGACUGAGACACGGCCCAAACUCCUACGGGAGGCAGCAGUGGGGAAUAUUGGACAAUGGGCGCAAGCCUGAUCCAGCCAUGCCGCGUGAGUGAUGACGGCCUUAGGGUUGUAAAGCUCUUUCGCUAGGGACGAUAAAUGACGGUACCUAGACAAGAAGCCCCGGCUAAACUUCGCGCCAGCAGCCGC
RNAcentral lists this ribosomal RNA (446 nucleotides) under uncultured bacterium. Its description in RNAcentral is "SSU rRNA". It matches the Rfam family "Bacterial small subunit ribosomal RNA", at positions 26 to 518 of the family's 1533-position model. The record is from RNAcentral.